UUGGGGUCCAUUUCGGUGGCGCGCACACAGGUGCUGGCAUGGCUGUCGUCAACUCGUGUCGUGAGAUGUUGGGUUAAGUCCCGCAACGAGCGCAACCCACGUCNUUAGUUGCCAUCAUUCAGUUGGGCACUCUAGGGAGACUGCCGGUGAUAAACCGCGAGGAAGGUGUGGAUGACGUCAAGUCCUCANGGCCCUUACGGGAUGGGCUACACACGUGCUACAAUGGCGGUGACAGUGGGACGCGAAGGAGCGAUCUGGAGCAAAUCCCCAAAAGCCGUCUCAGUUCGGAUUGCACUCUGCACCUUGGGUGCAAAAAGGCGG
This 321-nucleotide ribosomal RNA is filed under the name Methylobacterium sp. MB3.3. RNAcentral's name for it is "bacterial SSU rRNA". It matches the Rfam family "Bacterial small subunit ribosomal RNA", at positions 1008 to 1329 of the family's 1533-position model. Lineage: Bacteria; Pseudomonadati; Pseudomonadota; Alphaproteobacteria; Hyphomicrobiales; Methylobacteriaceae. The record is from RNAcentral.